AGACAACAAUAUAAUGUCUCCAAAGACCCAUAUCUAUUUUAAUGAGUCUUGUAGCUAUGCUAUAGGCAUACUGGGACAUGGGUGUUGCUCUGCAAGACCUGAAGGCAGAGGAUCUGGUGAGGCUUCAAGUGGGUCACUGCUAUGGUUCUAUGGGGAGAGCAAAUCAACGAGGAAUCUGACUGUGAAGAAAUGUGGCAAAUUAGUUCUUUUUUGCCAUCUCCCUCUAUGGUCUCCAAACCUCUAUCCCAACAACCUGCACCACACUAAUCAGCAUAACGAAUUCCUCCAGCAUGCCUGGCUUAAUGGAAUCAAUUACUUGUGGAAGACAAGAAACCUGGCAAGAAAACAACCAGCCAAGAGUAAUUUACCUGGAUGGUUACAGAGAGGACAUUAAGAAUGAAAGACAGCAUUAAGUGACAGAAGAGAGAGGCGAUAAAAGGAGAGCAUAAAAAGGAGGUCCUGAAGGGAGGUGCUGAUAGAACAAUCCAUCUGAGUGACCUUGAUCCAACCAAAGAGCCUUCAUAUCUCGCUUCUUCUGAAGACACACAUCUAUUAUUGAGUUUGUGGUCUGAUAAAAAUGAUUUCUUGUAAUUGUGACUAACCUGCUGUUCUGCAAUGACUUUGUGUGAGUCAUGGUCAUACUGUAAGUGGACGAAAUAUGGAACGGUUUUUUAGUCAUAGUUGCCUCUAUGUAUUACCAGUUUUCUGGAACACAAUUGUGCAAAUCUUGUAAAGUGGUGGUAACAUUCAAUACUAAUUGGUACCAAAAACCACAAGGAUGUGAAUCAUGUCUAAUGUAAGAGUAAGAAAAAUAAAUAAAUUCCACAACCGUACAAUUAACACCACAUCUUUCAAGCCAGAGAGGAAUGGUUUGUGUUUACU
Thunnus maccoyii (southern bluefin tuna) is the source of this 882-nucleotide long non-coding RNA. RefSeq lists it as uncharacterized. The record is from RefSeq and is a predicted model, not a curated record. NCBI's taxonomy places the organism in Eukaryota, Metazoa, Chordata, Actinopteri, Scombriformes, Scombridae. The transcript has 3 exons.